CCUACGGGAGGCAGCAGUCGAGAAUCAUUCUCAAUGGGGGAAACCCUGAUGGUGCGACGCCGCGUGGGGGAAUGAAGGUCUUCGGAUUGUAAACCCCUGUCAUGUGGGAGCAAAUUAAAAAGAUAGUACCACAUGAGGACGAGACGGCUAACUCUGUGCCAGCAGCCGCGGUAAUACAGAGGUCUCAAGCGUUGUUCGGAAUCACUGGGCGUAAAGCGUGCGUAGGCUGUUUCGUAAGUCGUGUGUGAAAGGCGCGGGCUCAACCCGCGGACGGCACAUGAUACUGCGAGACUAGAGUAAUGGAGGGGGACCCGGAAUUCUCGGUGUAGCAGUGAAAUGCGUAGAUAUCGAGAGGAACACUCGUGGCGAAGGCGGGUUCCUGGACAUUAACUGACGCUGAGGCACGAAGGCCAGGGGAGCGAAAGGGAUUAGAUACCCCUGUAGUC
This 446-nucleotide ribosomal RNA is filed under the name uncultured bacterium. RNAcentral's name for it is "partial 16S ribosomal RNA". It matches the Rfam family "Bacterial small subunit ribosomal RNA", at positions 338 to 795 of the family's 1533-position model. The record is from RNAcentral.